CAAUAGCGUAUAUUAAAGUUGUUGCAGUUAAAAGCUCGUAGUCGCAUUUCUGGCGAGAGGAAUUGGUCCGACAUUUAUUGUGGGUACUCGAUUCUCUCUCGCCAUCCUUGAGUGGUCCGUUCUGGCAUUUAGUUGUCGGAGCGUCAGCCGCUCAUCGUUUACUGUGAGAAAAUUAGAGUGUUCAAAGCAGGCUUAUGCCGUUGAAUAUAUUAGCAUGGAAUAAUAAGAUAGGACCUCGGUGCUAUUUUGUUGGUUUGCGCACAGAGGUAAUGAUGAACAGGGACAGUUGGGGGUGAUUUGUUAUUUCGUUGUUCAGAGGUGAAAUUCUUAGGAUUUAACUGAAAUGACAAACUU
This 354-nucleotide ribosomal RNA is filed under the name uncultured eukaryote. RNAcentral's name for it is "bacterial SSU rRNA". It matches the Rfam family "Eukaryotic small subunit ribosomal RNA", at positions 592 to 942 of the family's 1831-position model. The record is from RNAcentral.